UCAACUCGGGACUUUAAUGCGCA
Molecule: non-coding RNA, 23 nt
Filed under: Arabidopsis thaliana (thale cress)
Lineage: Eukaryota; Viridiplantae; Streptophyta; Magnoliopsida; Brassicales; Brassicaceae
Source: RNAcentral